RNAcentral lists this transfer RNA (71 nucleotides) under Mus musculus (house mouse). RNAcentral describes it as "tRNA-Asp". Lineage: Eukaryota; Metazoa; Chordata; Mammalia; Rodentia; Muridae. The record is from RNAcentral.
GGGGAUUUGGCUCAGUGGUAGAGCACAAACUAUCAUAUGUGAGGCUCUGAGAUCAAUUCCCAGUACUGCAA